CAGCCCCAUAGAUCCAACCCUGCCCCAUAGAUGCAUCCCUGCCCCACAGAUCCAUCCCAGCCCCAUAGAUAUGCAUCCCUGCCCCACAGAUCGAUCCCAGCCCCAUAGAUAUGGCUCUACCCCAUAGAUCCAUCCCAGCCCCAUAGAUCAAUCCCAGCCCCAUAGAUGCAUUUCAGCCCCAUAGAUGCAGCCCUGCCCCAUAGAUGUGUUCCUGCCCCAUAGAUCUAUCCCUGCCCCAUAGAUGCAGCCCUGCCCCAUAGAUCCAACCCAGCCCUAUAGAUGUGCUCCUGCCCCAUAGAUCCACCCCAGCCCCAUAGAUCCAUCCCAGCCCCAUAGAUGCAUCCCUGCCCCAUAGAUCCAUCCCAGCCCUAUAGAUUUCCCCCUCCCCACAGAUCCAUCCCUGCCCCACAGAUCCAUCCCAGCCCCAUAGAAGCAUCCCUGCCCCAUAGAUCAAUCCCAGCCCCAUAGAUGUGUUCCUGCCCCACAGAUCGAUCCCAGCCCCAUAGAUGCAUUUCAGCCCCAUAGAUGCAGCCCUGCCCCAUACAUGUGUUCCUGCUCCAUAGAUCCAUCCCAGCCCCAUAGAUGUGUUCCUGCCCUAUAGAUCCAUCCCAGCCCUAUAGAUGUAUCCCAGCCCCACAGAUCCAACCCUGCCCCAUAGAUGCAUUCCUGCCCCACAGAUCAAUCCCUGCCCCACAGAUUUCUGCCAGCCCCACAGAUUUCUCCCUGCCCCAUACAUCCAUCCCAGCCCCACAGAUCCAUCCCAGCCCCAUAGAUAUGGCUCUGCCCCAUAGAUCCAUCCCAGCCCCAUAGAUUUCUCCCUGCCCCAUAGAUCCAUCCCAGCCCCACAACCGCCCCCCUCAUCGAUGACUCCGCCCCACAUCUGUGCCCCCAGUCCCUCCCCCACCCCCCUCCCCCGUCCCGUCGGUGCCACCCACGUGACCGCGCCGUGACCCCGUGACCNNNNNNGCUAUGGGGCAACCGGAGGAGCGGCGCUGGGAUUGGGGGGCGCUGAGGACCCCAGCGGGGCGCCUGAUCGCGGCCGAGACGGCCGCGUGGUUCGCGCUGCUCCCCCUGCUGGCCGUUUCGGUUCCCCACGCGCUGCUCCCGGCUCUGCUGGCCGCACUUUGGGCUGCGGCCACGUUGGGGGCGGCGGUGCUGAGAGCCGCACCGAGGAUCCCGCACGGAGACUGCGUGGUACGGAGCCGCACCUCCCAGUCCUCCCAGUCCUCCCAGUUCUCCCAGUCCUCCAGUCCUCCAAUUGCUCCAGUCCUCCAGUCCUCCAAUCCUCCAGUCCUCCAGUCCUCCAGUCCUCCAAUCCCCCAGUCCUCCCAGUUCUCCCAGUUGUCCAGUCCUCCACUCCUCCCAGUUCUCCCAGUUCUCCCAGUCCUCCAGUCCUCCAGUCCUCCAGUCCUCCAGUCCUUCCAGUCCUCCAGUCCUCCAAGACAUCCAGUCCUCCCAGUCCUCCACUCCUCCAGUCCUCCAGUCCUCCAAUCCUCCACUCCUCCACUCCUCCAGUCCUCCAGUCCUCCCAGUCCUCCAGUCCUCCAGUCCUCCAGCCCUCCAGUUCUCCCAGUUCUCCAGUCCUCCAGUCCUCCCAGUCCUCCAGUCCUCCAGUCCACCAAUCCUCCAGCCCUCCAGUUCUCCCAGUUCUCCAGUCCUCCAGUCCUCCCAGUCCUCCAGUCCUCCAGUCCUCCAAGACAUCCAGUCCUCCCAGUCCUCCAAUCCUCCAGUCCUCCCAGUCCUCCAGUCCUCCAGUCCUCCCAGUUCUCCAAUCCUCCACUCCUCCAGUCCUCCAGACAUCCAGUCCUCCAGUCCUCCAAU
RNAcentral lists this long non-coding RNA (1821 nucleotides) under Phasianus colchicus (ring-necked pheasant). Its description in RNAcentral is "lncRNA (ENSPCLG00000016857.1)". The record is from RNAcentral. Lineage: Eukaryota; Metazoa; Chordata; Aves; Galliformes; Phasianidae.